Molecule: RNA transcript, 1613 nt
Organism: Oryzias latipes (Japanese medaka)
Lineage: Eukaryota; Metazoa; Chordata; Actinopteri; Beloniformes; Adrianichthyidae
Gene: agxtb
Gene name: alanine--glyoxylate and serine--pyruvate aminotransferase b
Source: RefSeq, a predicted model, not a curated record
GCAGGCUCAGUUUCUCUGAGAGACCAGAGACCUUUGAAGGACCCUCUGGCCUAGGACACCAUGAUGCAACGGGCUUUGUUCAGCAGGAGCGUGCUGCUCGCUCAGCAGGCUGCAGCGGCUCUGGACAGCCCGCUGGUCGGGAAGAGCGCAUCUGUAAUGCAGCGCAUGGAUCACCGCUCCAUGUCCUCGGUCACCAUCCCGCCGCCAGCGUGCAUGCUCCGGCCGCUUGAAGUUCCCAUGCGUUAUCUGUUCGGACCGGGACCCUCAAAUGUUCCUCCACGAGUUUUGGCCUCGGGUUCCAGGCCAAUUAUUGGUCACCUGCAUCCAGAAAUGUAUGAGAUCAUGAACGACAUCAAGAAGGGGAUCCAGUACGCAUUCCAGACGGAAAAUAACAUGACGAUAGCAAUGAGUGGCUCCGGCCACGCUGCCAUGGAGUGUGCGGUGUUCAACGUGGUGGAGCCUGGAGAGAGUGUCCUGGUGGCGGUCAACGGUAUCUGGGGAGAGCGAGUGGCGGAAAUUGCUGAACGGAUGGGUGCUAAUGUACACACAAUAGUGAAAGCGCCUGGAGGAUAUUAUACCAAGGAAGAAAUUGAACAAGCUAUUGAGAAACACAAGCCUGUCUUGUUUUUCCUCACACAUGGAGAGUCCUCUGCUGGCCUCUGUCACCCAGUAGAUGGCAUUGGAGACAUCUGUAGAAAAAAUAACUGCCUCUUCCUGGUCGACACAGUUGCAUCACUUGGAGCAGCACCAAUUUUUAUGGACAAACAAAAAAUUGACAUCCUGUACACUGGUUCUCAGAAGGCACUAAAUGCACCUCCUGGCACAGCACCCAUCUCUUUUAAUGACAGAGCAUGCUACAAGAUGUUUAACAGAAAAACAAAACCAAUAUCCUACCUCUUUGACAUGACACAUCUGUCCAACUACUGGGGCUGCGAUGGAAAUACAGUCAGAGCAUAUCAUCAUACUGGGCCGGUGUCUGGAUUUUUCGCCCUGAGGGAAAGUUUAGCGAUUCUCGCCGAAAAGGGGUUGGAAGAGUCUUGGAGGAAACACAAAGAGGUAGCAGCCUACCUGUACAAAGGGCUGGAGGAUCUUGGUCUCAAGCUUUUUAUCCCUGAUAGGGUGAGGAUUUGAGGCUUCCCUCCGUUACCACGAUAGCAAUCCCUGAAGGUUACGACUGGAGGGAGAUGCUGGGCUACAUAAUGAAACACCACCAGAUGGAAAUGACAGGAGGACUGGGGCCUUCUAUCGGCAUGGUGAUGAGGAUCGGAUUAAUGGGAUACAACUGUGAAAAGACUAAUGCUGACAAAGCACUUCAUGCCCUGGCAGAUGCUCUGAAGAACUGCAAAAAGAGCAAGGCUUAAAAGCUCACAUUCCCAGAGUGCUGACUGUAUGUCCAUCCAUCAAUUAAACAACAAGUGUCUCCUCGUGGAAGACAGAUGAUAUAAUGUGAAAAAAUAUAUAAUUUUUUGUGGUUUUCUCCACAAGGAUUUUAGAUUAGUCCUAUUGUAUAAAUUGGUAAAGUAGUUGUAGUUUUAAAAAUAAAAGUAUUGAUAUUGUCAUAUGACUCAUGCUGAGUGCACUUACAAUGUCAAUAAAGACAUUAUUUUAUCAAA